RNAcentral lists this ribosomal RNA (413 nucleotides) under uncultured microorganism. RNAcentral describes it as "bacterial SSU rRNA". It matches the Rfam family "Archaeal small subunit ribosomal RNA", at positions 459 to 872 of the family's 1478-position model. The record is from RNAcentral.
CAGCCGCCGCGGUAAUACCGGCGGCCCGAGUGGCGGUCACUAUUAUUGGGCUUAAAGCGUCCGUAGCCGGGGUGGGAAGUCCUCCGGGAAAUCUGGCCGCUUAACGGUCAGAAUGCCGGAGGAUACUCCCAGCCUAGGGAGCGGGAGAGGCCGAGGGGAUUCCCGGAGUAGGGGGGAAAUCCUAUAAUCCCGGGAGGACCACCUGUGGCGAAGGCGCUCGGCUGGAACGCGUCCGACGGUGAGGGACGAAGGCCAGGGGAGCAAACCGGAUUAGAUACCCGGGUAGUCCUGGCUGUAAACGAUGCGGACUUUGUGUCGGACAAGCUAUGAGCUUGUCCGGUGCCGGAGGGAAACCGUUAAGUCCGCCGCCUGGGGAGUACGGCCGCAAGGCUGAAACUUAAGGAAUUGGCGGG